UACGAACUGUGCGAACGUUAUUCGGAAUCACUGGGCUUACAGGGUGCGUAGGUGGCCGGACAAGUCAGGUGUGAAAUCCCUCAGCUCAACUGAGGAACUGCGCUUGAAACUAGUUUGGUCUAGAGUGAGCUAGGGGUGCUUGGGACGUGCCAGUGGAGCGGUGAAAUGUGUUGAUAUUGGCAGGAACACCGGAGCGAAAGGAAGCACUGGGCGUUAACUGACACUGAGGCACGAAAGCCA
This 240-nucleotide ribosomal RNA is filed under the name uncultured bacterium. Its description in RNAcentral is "partial 16S ribosomal RNA". It matches the Rfam family "Bacterial small subunit ribosomal RNA", at positions 524 to 762 of the family's 1533-position model. The record is from RNAcentral.